UACGGAGGAUGCAAGCGUUAUCCGGAAUGAUUGGGCGUAAAGCGUCCGCAGGUGGCUAUGUAAGUCUGCUGUUAAAGAGUGAGGCUCAACCUCAUAAGAGCAGUGGAAACUACAUGGCUAGAGUGCGUUCGGGGCAGAGGGAAUUCCUGGUGUAGCGGUGAAAUGCGUAGAGAUCAGGAAGAACACCGGUGGCGAAAGCGCUCUGCUAGACCGCAACUGACACUGAGGAGCGAAAGCGUGGGGAGCGAACAGG
Molecule: ribosomal RNA, 253 nt
Filed under: uncultured bacterium
Lineage: Bacteria
Description: partial 16S ribosomal RNA
Rfam family: Bacterial small subunit ribosomal RNA
Source: RNAcentral